Molecule: ribosomal RNA, 306 nt
Filed under: uncultured Peredibacter sp.
Lineage: Bacteria; Pseudomonadati; Bdellovibrionota; Bacteriovoracia; Bacteriovoracales; Bacteriovoracaceae
Description: bacterial SSU rRNA
Rfam family: Bacterial small subunit ribosomal RNA
Source: RNAcentral
GAGAGGUGCUGCAUGGCUGUCGUCAGCUCGUGUUGUGAAAUGUUGGGUUAAGUUUUGCAACGAGCGCAACUCCUAUCGUUUGUUGCCAGCAUUAAGUUGGGCACUCUGACGAGAUUGUCUGGGUUAAUUAGGAGGAAGGUGGGGAUGAUGUUAAGUUCUUAUGGCCUUUAUGUCUAGGGCUACACACGUAAUAUAAUGGCGCGUACAAAGGGAAGCGAACUCGCAAGGGGGAGCAAAUCUCAAAAAGCGCGUCUCAGUCCGGAUUGGAGUCUGCAACUCGACUCCAUGAAGUUGGAAUCGCUAGUA